RNAcentral lists this ribosomal RNA (468 nucleotides) under uncultured bacterium. RNAcentral describes it as "partial 16S ribosomal RNA". It matches the Rfam family "Bacterial small subunit ribosomal RNA", at positions 28 to 507 of the family's 1533-position model. The record is from RNAcentral.
GACGAACGCUGGCGGCGUGCUUAACACAUGCAAGUCGAACGGAAAGGCCCUGCUUUUGUGUGGUGCUCGAGUGGCGAACGGGUGAGUAACACGUGAGUAACCUGCCCUGGACUUUGGGAUAACUUCAGGAAACUGGUGCUAAUACCGGAUAGGAGCUCCUGCUGCAUGGUGGGGGUUGGAAAGUUUCGGCGGUUGGGGAUGGACUCGCGGCUUAUCAGCUUGUUGGUGGGGUAGUGGCUUACCAAGUCUUUGACGGGUAGCCGGCCUGGGAGGGUGACCGGCCACAUGGGGACUGAGAUACGGCCCAGAGUCCUAUGGGGGGCAGCAGUCGGGAAUAUUGCCCAGUGGGCGGGAGCCUGAUGAGGAAGCGCCGCGUGCGGGAUGACGGCCUUCGGGUUGUAAACCGCUUUCGCCUGUGACGAAGCGUGAGUGACGGUAAUGGGUAAAGAAGCACCGGCUAACUACGUG